RNA transcript from Magnolia sinica, 2777 nucleotides. It is a transcript of the gene named serine/arginine-rich splicing factor SC35-like, with no coding region annotated. The transcript is spliced from 12 exons. The record is from RefSeq and is a predicted model, not a curated record. NCBI's taxonomy places the organism in Eukaryota, Viridiplantae, Streptophyta, Magnoliopsida, Magnoliales, Magnoliaceae.
GUUCCUCUGCUCAAGCCCCUCUUUUAUCUCUCUCGCACCCAACCGCCCCUCUCCCUCCCUUUCUAUCUGAAAAAGGCAGAGAAAUGUCGCAUUUCGGAAGAUCGGGCCCUCCCGAUAUCAGAGAUACCUUCUCUCUCCUCGUUCUCAACAUCACUUUCCGAACUACAGCCGAUGAUCUGUUUCCCCUCUUCGAUAAGUACGGAAAGGUCGUCGAUAUCUUCAUCCCCAGAGACCGACGGACGGGAGAAUCCCGAGGAUUUGCGUUUGUUCGGUAUAAGUAUGCAGAUGAGGCGCAGAAGGCCGUGGACAAGCUUGAUGGAAGGAAUGUUGAUGGUAGGGAUAUUAUGGUCCAAUUCGCAAAAUAUGGGCCCAGUGCCGAACCUAUUCACAAAGGAAGAGUGGUAGAGAUGCUUCCAAGGACUAGAGGAAGGUCAAGAAGCCGUAGCCCUAGGCGAAGGUAUCGAGAUGACUACCGUGGGAGGGAUUACAGAAGGCGAAGUCGGGGUCGAAGCCGUGAUAGGUAUUACCGUGAUAGGUACUAUGGGAGGGAAAGAGAUUACCGCCGUCGUAGCAGGAGCCGCAGUGUCAGUCCUGAUUACUACAAAGGCCGCAGUAGAGGCAGGCAUGAUGAUGAACCAAGGAGGAGCAGAAGCAGAUCAAUAGAAAGUGCAUCCCCUCUGCGUCGCAGUCUUAGUCCCCGAAGGAGCCCUUCCCCGCGAAGGACACCUUCCCGUGACGGAAGUCCUGAUAGGCGCAGUCCUGAUGAGCGAUCCCCAUCUCCAAGGAGUGUUUCACCACGAGGUCGACGUGCUUAUUCCCGAAGUCCAUCUUCACAGUACUCUGAUGAUGACUGAUCACAGUACUAGGAUCCUUGCAAGGAGAUGUCUCAAGGCAGAAGAUAUAUCUUUGUUUGCUAUUGACGGUUACCAGAAUUCCUUUCAGAUUCUGAAUGCUAUUUUGUUAGCCCUGGGCUUCUUAUCAAGUUAUGUUCGUGAAAGGAGUGAUUGUGGCUGAUCAGCGAGAUGGUUGCAGAGUGGUGUCCUUGCUUGUUGCUGAUGCUAUUUAUACUUCCUAAAUGAUGAUGAUGAUGUUCGUUUUGAUGCCGGUAACAUCUAACAGUAUGCUAUCAAAUCCGCCUAGACACCAGAAGCGCAUUCCAAGUUCUAGAUGAAAAGUGUAUGGUAAAUUAUUCUUUGACGAUCUCCUGAUUGAUAAGCCUAAUAUUUUUAACUCUCUAUCUAACAUAGUAUUAUCCAUCGGGAUUUUGUCUUUUGGCCUGAUCGUGCUCCCUGGGACUUUGGUGGUUUUGAGUUAUGGGUCCUGAUCCUGAUAGUAGUUGUAGCUGUGACGAACAAAAAGAUGGUCGAACGGGGUACGUGUCUUUACCUGUAGCUGAUGCUGCUGAUGGGCCAGCUACGUGCAGUUCACUUCCAACACUGACGCUGAUGCUAAAGAUGAAACCUAAUAUGCUGUGCUGACCCUUUCAUCUAGCUGCGAGAUUGGGACAGGGUAAAGGAUGAACACUGAUUGCUUACUUUUCCAGUAGGGUUUCUGUUUGGAUUUCACCUGUUUUUAGUGCAAUCUAGUCUUAGGGCCAUUUUUCAGAUGCCAAAAAAUGAAGUCACCUGAUUUAAGCUAAUCAUAAUUAUGUAUUAGAGAUCAUCAUUGUUGGUUAUUGAGAUUAUUUUUAAUCCUUUGCAAAAAAGAAUAUGAUCUCUAUACAUAAUUACGAUUAACUAAAAUGAGACAAUCAUUUUUAGGCUUAUACCAAACAGGCCUGUAGCUGUUAGGAUUUUCUGGCUCACAUUGCAUCAUGUACUCGGAUGUGAUAGCAUGCGGGGUCAUGAUUGUAGCUGUGAAGUGCUAAAGAUGGGGAGGGCUGGUAAAUGUUAUACAACUGUGGGCUGUGGUGUUGAUGUUGUCACUAUCCUUGGUGGGUGUGGAGUUGGGGUCGAGUUUAUUGAUUUUGGUGCUGCUAAGUGAUGCCUGAGUUUGGUUGGUGGAUCACUGUCUUCUCCAAGUCUCCAAUGGAUCAGCUUCCAUUGUUUUGGAGCUGAUCAGAUGCUGUUAUUGCCUUGAUGUUUGCUGUAUGAGGGGAGCCAUUUCUCUUUUCUACAUUGACAACAUCGCCAUUGCUUGGAUUGGGUCAUCUCAGGUGUUAUUUCCUUCAAAGAUUGGAAUCUUCCUGUCUGUUUAUUUGAGGCAAUGCUUUCUUCUGAUAUUAUACUGAUGUGAGGUUUGCUUACGCGGUAGUGCCGAGUGAGCAUUUUGCUCCCUUGCUGUCUUCCAUCCCUACAGCGCACCUGGCACAUGCCCAUGGUGGUACCGAUCCUUCACUUAGUAGGUUACCAUGGAGUUGAGCCACAUCCCAAAAAUAAUGGUGAUCCAUCUUAGAGGUUGAACCUGGUCUGCAAAGGAUGCUAAAGAAGGAAGUAGAAGUAGUAGGUUUGACUCUUGAGCUGUGGACCUGUGGUACAUGCAUCCGGUGAUUGACUAGAUCAAUGGCCUGAUCAUCCUAGAAGUUUGCCCUAUGUAUGGUGAGGACGUAGGAAAAGAGGGAACUGCUUAAUUUCCAAGACUGUAUAUCAUCUUUGCUGCUAGGGGCAUUUCCCUAAUUUCAAAUCUUACAAGUUAGGUGGCAUGCUAUAAAAGGCAAAGAGAUGGCAAUUUUCUGUUUGCAUAGAAGAAUUCCCCUUGUAUGUGUUCCUUCAAUGGACAAUUAACUGUAAUGAUUGUUUUUUCAGUAUGAUGAUAUGCCAAAAGACUAGAUUUUCCUA